Brassica oleracea var. oleracea is the source of this 480-nucleotide long non-coding RNA. RefSeq lists it as uncharacterized. The transcript has 2 exons. Lineage: Eukaryota; Viridiplantae; Streptophyta; Magnoliopsida; Brassicales; Brassicaceae. The record is from RefSeq and is a predicted model, not a curated record.
UGUCCAACAUGAUGAAUUAUAGAAAAUUGUGAGUUCACGGAUGAACCGUGUGAAAAGUUUGGUGAUGGCCCAUAUAUGUUUCACUUUUUUCAGCUUCAAUCUAUCUGUUGAUAUCUCAGUAUCUGACUAUGAAAGAAUUUGAAGCUUCGAAUUCAUUUUUAAGACUCAUGAGGUGGUGUCUGUAGAUCAUACGUGUGGUGGAAACCGGCUAUGAAAAACUUCUACUUUGGCUACUAUUAGUAAUCUUCAGUUGCAGAGUGAUUGACUGUUGAUGGAAUAUUGGAGAGCUGGGAAAAGACUAAGCGGGUUAUAAUGGAAGCUUGGGAAGAAGAAGAUAAAGAUGCUUAUGGUUGGAUUAAAAAGGACUCGACAACUUGGAUUGGUGACAAUAGGUAUGUCUUCGAGAUCAAUUCCUAAAGGACACAAGUUUUGAGACCUAUAUUGUCAAAACAACAUGUCAUAUAGUCACAGUUUCAUCUU